This 216-nucleotide ribosomal RNA is filed under the name uncultured bacterium. RNAcentral describes it as "partial 16S ribosomal RNA". It matches the Rfam family "Bacterial small subunit ribosomal RNA", at positions 560 to 775 of the family's 1533-position model. The record is from RNAcentral.
GUAAAGGGCGCGUAGGCUGACAGUUUAGGCAGAGGUAAAAGCCCAGGGCUCAACCUUGGAACUGCCUUUGAUACUGGCUGUCUUGAGUAUGGAAGAGGUAUGUGGAACUCCGAGUGUAGAGGUGAAAUUCGUAGAUAUUCGGAAGAACACCAGUGGCGAAGGCGACAUACUGGUCCAUUACUGACGCUGAGGCUCGAAAGCGUGGGGAGCAAACAG